RNAcentral lists this ribosomal RNA (442 nucleotides) under uncultured bacterium. RNAcentral describes it as "bacterial SSU rRNA". It matches the Rfam family "Bacterial small subunit ribosomal RNA", at positions 64 to 524 of the family's 1533-position model. The record is from RNAcentral.
GAGCGGAAAGGCCCUUCGGGGUACUCGAGCGGCGAACGGGUGAGUAACACGUGAGUAACCUGCCCCUAGCUCUGGGAUAGCUCCGGGAAACCGGGAUUAAUACCAGAUAUGACCACGAUAGACAUCUGCUGUGGUGGAAAGAAUUUCGGCUAGGGAUGGGCUCGCGGCCUAUCAGCUUGUUGGUGGGGUAACGGCCUACCAAGGCGACGACGGGUAGCCGGCCUGAGAGGGCGACCGGCCACACUGGGACUGAGACACGGCCCAGACUCCUACGGGAGGCAGCAGUGGGGAAUAUUGCGCAAUGGGCGAAAGCCUGACGCAGCGACGCCGCGUGGGGGAUGAAGGCCUUCGGGUUGUAAACCCCUUUCAGCAGGGACGAAGCGAGAGUGACGGUACCUGCAGAAGAAGCGCCGGCUAACUACGUGCCAGCAGCCGCGGUAAU